This 1073-nucleotide unclassified non-coding RNA is filed under the name Hevea brasiliensis (rubber tree). The record is from RNAcentral. Lineage: Eukaryota; Viridiplantae; Streptophyta; Magnoliopsida; Malpighiales; Euphorbiaceae.
CUGAUAUGGAAAAUAUGAAGGGUGAAAAUUACCCAGAGAAAAGCCAAAAACCAUCUAGCAUUGUGGGGGCUCAUUUGAAGUCUGUUAGUGGAUUUGAUGAAAAACCUGUGGAAGAGGUAUCAAUGCUUGGGUACACUAGGAAGGUGACCAUUCUCUAUGAGCUUCUUUCAGCUUGUCUCGCACAAGUACCUGAAGACGGUAAGAAAACUACUCGAAGAAGGAAGGGUUAUGAUGCUCGACAUCGUAUGGCUUUACGGUUGCUAGCAACAUGGCUUAAUGUCAGAUGGAUCAAAGCGGAAGCCAUUGAGACCAUGGUUGCUUGUUCAGCAAUGGCUUUGCUGAAAGAGGAAGAAUCAAAGGAGGAAAGCCAAUCUCCUGAUGGUUCAUGGGCUAAGUGGAAACGAGGAGGUAUUAUAGGUGCAGCUGCAUUGACUGGUGGAACUUUAAUGGCAAUUACUGGUGGUUUGGCUGCUCCAGCAAUAGCUGCAGGCUUUGGUGCUUUAGCACCUACCUUGGGCACUCUUAUUCCUGUGAUUGGAGCAAGUGGGUUUGCUGCUGUUGCUACUGCUGCUGGGAGUGUUGCAGGAUCUGUUGCAGUCGCAGCAUCAUUUGGAGCUGCUGGAGCCGGACUUACAGGAACUAAAAUGGCCAGGAGAACUGGAGAUGUUGAUGAAUUUGAGUUCAAGGCUAUAGGGGAAAACCACAACCAGGGGCGGCUGGCAGUUCAGAUCUUGAUCUCGGGACUUGUUUUUGAGGAGGAAGACUUUAUAAGACCUUGGGAAGGACAACAUGAUAACUCUGAAAGGUAUAUAUUGCAGUGGGAAUCGAAGAAUCUUAUUGCUGUAAGCACUGCAAUUCAGGAUUGGCUGACUUCACGAAUUGCAAUGGAGUUGAUGAAGCAAGGUGCUAUGAUGACUGUACUACACACUCUUUUAACAGCUUUGGCUUGGCCAGCAGCUUUACUUACUAUUACUGAUUUCAUAGACAGCACCUGGUCAAUUGCUGUGGACAGAUCUGAUAAAGCAGGAGUGCUCCUAGCAGAAGUGUUGAAGAAAGGAUUACAGGGACACAGG